Molecule: long non-coding RNA, 316 nt
Filed under: Mytilus galloprovincialis (Mediterranean mussel)
Lineage: Eukaryota; Metazoa; Mollusca; Bivalvia; Mytilida; Mytilidae
Source: RNAcentral
UAGUGUUGCUCUCCACCAAUUGCAAUUCAUUCAAAAUUUUGACCAAAUUGCAAUUUGUUUUAUAAAAUCAAAUUGUUCAACUGGUCAGAAAUUUGAACCAACUGCUGUAGAAAACCACAGCCAAGUCAUGAAAGUGCAAGGUGAUAAAAUAAAACAUACUUACAAUCCUAUAAGACUUUAACUCCCUUUUAAUGAUGUUGUGACACAAUUAGUUUAUCAGUUUGUAUAGUUAUAUUAUAGUCAUUUCCAUGCUGAAGGGGAACUGUUUAUUUUGAAUUGCUAUUAAAUUGUCCAAACUAAGCUUUCAUAUAGUUUU